RNAcentral lists this transfer RNA (77 nucleotides) under Felis catus (domestic cat). It matches the Rfam family "tRNA". Rfam says of the family: Transfer RNA (tRNA) molecules are approximately 80 nucleotides in length. Their secondary structure includes four short double-helical elements and three loops (D, anti-codon, and T loops). The record is from Rfam by way of RNAcentral. Lineage: Eukaryota; Metazoa; Chordata; Mammalia; Carnivora; Felidae. RNAcentral also lists the same sequence under 1 other name.
GCCUGGGUGGCUCAGUUGGUUGAGCAUCUGACUCUUGAUUUCGGCUCAGGUCGUGGGAUUGAGUCCCACAUUGGGCU